CAGCAGCCGCGGUAAUACAUAGGGGGCAAGCGUUAUCCGGAAUUAUUGGGCGUAAAGCGUGCGUAGGCGGUUUAUUAAGUUUGGUGUAAAAUACUAUAGCUUAACUAUAGAGGGUCAUUGAAAACUGGUAGACUUGAGUACGGUAGAGGUAAGUGGAAUUUCUAGUGGAGCGGUGGAAUGCGUAGAUAUUAGAAGGAACACCAAUGGCGAAGGCAGCUUACUGGGCCGGGACUGACGCUGAGGCACGAAAGCGUGGGGAGCAAACAGGAUUAGAUACCCUGGUAGUCCACGCCGUAAACGAUGAGCACUAAGUGUCGGGGGAAACCUCGGUGCUGCAGUUAACACAUUAAGUGCUCCGCCUGGGGAGUACGGUCGCAAGACUGAAACUCAAAGGAAUUGACGGGGACUCGCACAAGCGGUGGAGCAUGCGGUUUAAUUCGAUGCAACGCGAAGAACCUUACCAGGUCUUGACAUCUUGUUGACUGAUCUAGAGAUAGGUCUUUUCUUCGGAACAACAAAGACAGGUGGUGCAUGGCC
RNAcentral lists this ribosomal RNA (537 nucleotides) under uncultured archaeon. RNAcentral describes it as "bacterial SSU rRNA". It matches the Rfam family "Bacterial small subunit ribosomal RNA", at positions 509 to 1050 of the family's 1533-position model. The record is from RNAcentral.